Molecule: long non-coding RNA, 281 nt
Filed under: Elaeis guineensis (African oil palm)
Lineage: Eukaryota; Viridiplantae; Streptophyta; Magnoliopsida; Arecales; Arecaceae
Description: long non-coding RNA (EGUI_LNC049987)
Source: RNAcentral
UCCAUAGCCAUGAUAGGUGAAUAAUGAAAAGUAGUAUCCAUAAAGUUUCACAUGGACUCGAGUCAAUUGAAUCUGACAUAUGACGGACGAACGGGCUUGAUGAGUGAUCUUUGACCUGCAUCUUAUCGAAACUCACAACAGAAGAACCGAACUACAUGAUAACUGCACUUAGAGGUUUAAUAUUUUAUUCUGCUAGAUUGUCACUACAUACUGUUAGGUGUCACCAGUGGAUCGUGAGACUUGUCGAGCAUCAUCUUGAUGAUCGAUUAUCCUUGAUGGGU